GCCUGGGUGGCUCAGUUGAUUAAGCAUCUGACUCCGGCUCAGGUCACGAUGGCACAGUUUGUGGGUUCGAGCCCCGCGUCGGGCU
This 85-nucleotide transfer RNA is filed under the name Felis catus (domestic cat). It matches the Rfam family "tRNA". Rfam says of the family: Transfer RNA (tRNA) molecules are approximately 80 nucleotides in length. Their secondary structure includes four short double-helical elements and three loops (D, anti-codon, and T loops). Lineage: Eukaryota; Metazoa; Chordata; Mammalia; Carnivora; Felidae. The record is from Rfam by way of RNAcentral.